CUCAUGGAUGUCAUAACAGUAUGCCUUCUUGCUUUUACAUUUUACAGUAAUAAUAGAUCGAUAACAAAUUUACAUGGAGAAGUGAGAACCCUCAGCUAGUUUCAUCCCCAUGACCAUGAUCCAGCAGCUCACCCAACGUAAUCACAGAAAACGGUUUUGACAAUAGUGGCCACUGUUUUGAGAGUGCUCGAGCAACUUGUUGCAUAGUUGGCCGAGAUUGGGGAUUAACACACAAACAUGCAAAUGCCAACUUCACUGCAACCACUACUUCCUCUGCCACUUGAUUCACAGGAGGUGAGGGGCGCUGGUCUAUCACAUCAUUCAGCAGGAAAUGGCCGACCGUUGAUGGUGAUGCAGAUGAGGAGGACGCUGAUGAUAACAGGGAUGAGAUAAGCUCUCCGGGAUGCCUUCCCAUAAUUACUUCUAAUGUCACAACACCGAAGCUAUAAACAUCGGUUUUAUUAUCCACCUUCAUUGUGUAAGCAAGUUCUGCAAAAGAAGAUUAGAUCAUGCUCUGCUCUGCUAAGCAAUUAGAAACGUUACAUAUGACGUAUAGAGGCCAUUUAGAGAUAAGCAAGGCACUAAGAAAAAUGUACCUGGAGCUGUAUAACCAAAAGUUCCUGCAAAUGAAGUCCAAUUAGAUGAGUCUGACUUUAAAAGCCUAGCCGUGCCGAAGUCAGAUACAUGAGCUUCAUAUUCUGAAUCUAACAAAACAUUGUUGCUCGAUAUGUCUUGAUGAAUUACAGGAGGUGAGCAAUCAUGGUGCAUAUAAGAUAAAGCUUUAGCCACGCCUUUAAUAACGUUUAGCCUCACAGUCCAAUCUAAUCUUUCUGCUUCUUCGUCGUUGCAUAGAAUGUUUUGCAAACUCCCCUUUUCCAUAAACUCAUAAACCAAAAAUGAGUUCUUUGCAAAUGAACUGAAGCCAUAAAGCUUGACGAUGUUGUGGUGCCUUAUCUGUGUUAAAGCAUAAAUCUCGCUUUUGAAAGCUUUCAAAUCAGCCAUAUCUCCAUCUUCUGAUGAGUGAAGCUUUUUCACAGCAACAACCCGACCUGUUGGCAACUCAGCCUUGUAAACAGUACCAUAUCCUCCAGUGCCAAUACACUGUUUCGAACUGAAAUUGUCGGUCCCCUGUAUGAUGUGCUCAUACAACAAUUCCCCAUCAUGGCCCCAUAUUGCAAAUAGAUCUUCAACAUCUGCUUCAGGAGACUUGGUUUUUCUCUUCCUCAAUUUUUGGAAAAGAAAAUAAAUGCCAGUAAUAAAAGCAAAUAAGAACAAUAGACUGCUCACAAUAAGGAGUAUUAUGAUCAAAAUAGAAAACUUGCUGGCCUUCUUUUGACUAGCACCGCAUGGCUUGAGAUGAGUGACAUUAUUACCACACAGACCUUUAUUAUUUUUGAAUGCCUCAAAUUGAGCAAAUGCUUUGAUGUUGGGGAGAGGACCUUCCAACUGAUUGUAGGAUAUAUCAGCAACUGUCAGGCUUAUCAAAUCAUAAAACGUGUGUGGGAUGGUGCCAGAGAGAUCGUUAUGGGAGAGAUUCAACGUUUCUAGGUUCUGUAAUUCUCCAAGGUGCGGUGGAACCUCUCCUGUCAACAUAUUUUGACUAAGAUCGAGACUUUCAAGAUGAUGCAUCUUUCCAAUUUCGUCAGGAAUGCUAUCCACAAAUCUAUUCUCGCUCAAGUUCAAGGACCAUAAUUUCCAGAAGUUUCCCAGUUGCUUGGGAACUGGACCGCUUAAGUUGUUUGAUGCCAAGUCAAGGAUUUCAAGAUUGGAUAAGUUUCCUAAUUCCAGAGGAAUACUUCCUGAAAGUUUGUUGUUGCCUAGCAACAAUUUGAACAAUAAGGGAAACAUACCCAAUUCUUUUGGGAUCUUCCCAAUUAGAUGAUUUGAGGAGAGAUCAAGUUGUUGCAGUUGAAUUGCUUUCCCAAGUUGAGGUGGUAUAGCACCAGAAAUUUUAUUGUUGGAGAUGUUCAGGUUUGUGAGCAUGUGGCACUCCCCCCAUUUCUCAGAAAGCUCACCAUAAAAAUUGUUAUUGCUCAGAUCAAUAUAAUUUAGAUUAGGGUAUACACCAAAACUUUCGGCUAUGUCUCCAGUAAGUUGGUUUUUUUCAAGCCUAACUCUGAAUAAGCUAGUGCAAUUUUUCAAGCUCUUUGGAAUAGGACCAGUGAAAUGGUUCAUUUGGGCUGAAACUUUUUCAAGAGCAUUACCAAGGCAUAUCUCUUGUGGUAGGUGGCCAAUGAAGUUAUUCUCAGCAAUUUGCAAAGAUUUCAAAUGAGUGAUAUUAUUCAUUUCUAGAGGAAUGGCACCACUGAGUCUGUUGUAAUGAAGGGCCAAAAAGUUUAAGCCGGACAAGUUUCCAAAGGAUGGAGGGAUCAGACCAGUGAGACUAUUAUUUGCCAACUCAAGAUCAUUAAGUGAUGUCAACAAUCCAAUCUCUUGAGGAAUAGAACCGGAUAGUUUGUUUGUAUGAAGGUACAAAGUGGUUAAGUUCCUCAAGUUACCUAUGGAAUGAGGGAUUGGACCGGUGAGAUUGUUAAUUGACAACGCAAGAUCAUUAAGUGAUGUCAACAAUCCAAUUUCUUGAGGGAUGGAACCAGAAAGCUUGUUCUCAGAAAGAUCUAAAGUGGUUAAAUUUCUCAAGUUUCCAAAGGAUGGAGGGAUCGGACCAGUGAGACUAUUAUUUGCCAACUUAAGAUCAUUAAGUGAUGUCAACAAUCCAAUCUCUUGAGGAAUAGAACCGGAUAGUUUGUUUGUAUGAAGGUACAAAGUGGUUAAGUUCCUUAAGUUACCUAUGGAAGGAGGGAUUGGACCGGUGAGAUUGUUAAUUGACAACGCAAGAUCAUUAAGUGAUGUCAACAAUCCAAUUUCUUGAGGGAUGGAACCAGAAAGCUUGUUCUCAGAAAGAUAUCAAGUGGUUAAAUUUCUCAAGUUUCCAAAGGAUGGAGGGAUCGGACCAGUGAGACUAUUAUUUGCCAACUCAAGAUCAUUAAGUGAUGUCAACAAUCCAAUCUCUUGAGGAAUAGAACCGAAUAGUUUGUUUGUAUGAAGGUACAAAGUGGUUAAGUUCCUCAAGUUACCUAUGGAAUGAGGGAUUGGACCGGUGAGAUUGUUAAUUGACAACACAAGAUCAUUAAGUGAUGUCAACAAUCCAAUUUCUUGAGGGAUGGAACCAGAAAGCUUGUUCUCAGAAAGAUCUAAAGUGGUUAAAUUUCUCAAGUUUCCAAUGGAUGAAGGGAUCGGACCAGUAAGACUAUUAGUUGCCAACUCAAGAUCAUUAAGUGAUGUCAACAAUCCAAUCUCUUGAGGGAUAGAACCAGAAAGCUCAUUCUCAAAAAGAUGUAGAGUGGUUAAGUUUCUCAAGUUUCCUAUGGAUGGAGGGAUUGGACCAGUGAGACUAUUAAUUGCCAAUUGAAGAUCAUUAAGCGAUGUCAACAAUCCAAUUUCUUGAGGAAUAUAACCAGAUAGUUUGUUUUUAUGAAGGUACAAAGUGGUUAAGUUCCUCGAGUUACCUAUGGAAGGAGGAAUUGGGCCUCUGAAAUUAUUAAAACACAAUGCUAGAACACUAAGAGAUGUUAGAAAUCCAAGUUGGGGAGAUAUUACACCAGUAAAACGAUUGAAAGUAAAGUUAAGAUUUGUGAUUAGUUUAGAAAGAUUACCAAUGUUGAUUGGAAUGGUUCCAUAAAGGGAGUUGUUAUAAAGAUUAAGAGUGAGAAGGUUAGGGAGUGAUGAGAAAUUGAGAUUGUGGAGUGUACCUCUCAAACCGCAAUUGUCAAGGUCUAAAUUGGAGACACUUCCUGACCUGUGACAAGUCACUCCAAACCAAUGAUGGCAAGAAUUGCGUCCAGACCAAGAAGAAAGGAAAGAUUGGGUUUGAUUAUCAAGACUGGUCUUCCAUGUUAGAAGAGCAACUGCCUCUUGAUCUUGUUCAACUUUCAAAAGAGAAGUGGUAGGUGUAGAGGCAGAUGUAAAAGUGACAUGGAAUAAUGAUAUCGAGUACAGAAGGAAAAGGAGAAAUAUGAAUAAGCAAGGAGUGAUGAUGAGUCGGGGGAGUAAGGAGUAGGAUGAAAAAUAUUCAAGCACCAUUGUUGAAUUGGUAGAAAUGAAGUUAUUAAGAGGUUUACCUGGAGGGAAGGAUGAAGACGAAACACUUAUUUAUAGACUUAAAUGUGAUACAUCCAAGAUUUCCAUUAGUUGGUGUUGACAUCUAACCAUUUGCUUUGUCUACGAUUAAUGGAAUUGAAAAGUAUUAUAUACAUGCAUGAGCUCAAUUCCACACUUAUUUUAUUUUAUCAAAAUGCUCUUAAUUUUUUUAUUAAAAUUUACACCUGUAAUUACAUAUGAAAUAAUUAAAAAUAUUCCUUUUUCACUCUAUGCACUUUUAAAUAUAACUUGUUUAAAAUUAAUCAUUACAAUUCAUUUUAAGAAGUAAGGACCAAAUAUACCCACGUCAACAACCUAGUUGAUAUAGGAAGUCCACUUUAACCAACAUUACUCAUUGUUUAGAUUGAAUUCUUUUAACUAUUUUGCCCUGUGAGAAAUAAACUCUUUUAACUUUAUUAGUUCUUUCAUAAUUUUUAUCCUUACAAUAUGAACUAUCUGAUUUCUCUUAAUAUUUUAUAAAUCAUUUAUGUUAUAUUUCAAAACAAAAUUAGUUGUCAUUUCUUCUACUUCUUUCCCAGACAAAUGCAUAAUUUGUGGUUGAUGUUUAUUAGUUUUAUUAAAGGUGUUUACAAUUUGUAAGUGAGACCCAUCAUCUAUGAAAAAUAUAGACAUGCUUUUUUUCAGUUGAAAGUCUUAAGGAACUAGUAUUUGGACCACAACAAGAACUAAGGGCUACCAAAUUUUCACUUUGUUUUACAUCCAAAUAAAACACACAAUCCUUUAUGUAUUGUCUAUUCUAAGCCAAGGGGCUCUCAAGGCUUUAAAAUGCAUCUCUAAGAUUAAGAGGAGCCUAACAUAUAUAUCAUCAUGAGCUUUUUUUCUCUAUCCGACGUGAGAUGUCAUAAAAAUUGUUCAACAAGACUAAUGCAUUUGUGAAGCUCAAAAGAAUCACAAAAAUCAAAGGAAGAUUUUUUGGGCAUUACAACAUAAAAGAUGCAGGACCCUUGUACACAUGCAUUUUCCUUAUCAAACAAUUGUCUUGACAAGCCAUUCUAAAGCCCACUUGGCUUGCCAUCACUAGUGAUGGACCUACAUCAUUCAAAUUCUCGAUGCUCUUGAAAAGGCCAUAUGCACUUGAAGUAAAAAGAGCUUUGAAUUUUUGUUAGAUACUUCGUUUUUUCUAUUUGGAAACAUAUUUUUCUUUUCUUUUUUUGUUCUUUUUUUUUAAUAGAACGUUUACCCUCCUAGAGUGUAAAAUCCUCUAUUUUCUGUUCAAAUUUCAGCUUUGCAAUUAGAGUCCUAAAUUCUAAACCUUGUCUGGGUUUUCCAGUUUUGUGAAAAAUCACAUCAUAGGGACCCAACAAGAUGGGAUUUGAUUCAAUGUUAGAGACAAAUUUUGGAAAAAUCUACAAAACCCUCAACAGUUGUGGCCAUACCAUAGCUCAAGACCAAGAUGGGAAUUUACAAUCUAAUAAAGCUGAUGAAUGCUUCAUAGACGUGAAGGUCCUCACAUUCUUGAUCGGGAAGAACCUAGGCCGAAAGUAAUCAGCAAAGGAUAAGAACGCCAGGAUCAUUUCACACUGAAACACUUUACUCCAACUACUCUGGUUAAACGGAUUCAUCCUAGAGAAAACUAUGAAGAUAGCAGCCUUGUUAUAGACUUAAAUGUGAUACAUCCAACAUUCCCAUUAGUUGGUGUUGACAUCCAACUACCUCCUUGUCUACAACUAAUGGAAUUGAAAAGGAUUAUAUGGCUCAAUCCCAUGCUUAUUUUAUUUUAUUUUAUCAAAGUGCUCUUAAUUUUUAUUAAAAACACUUGGAGUGCUUCUUCUUGGAUAAACACUUGAUGAGUAUUUCUUUUAAAGGAUAAGAGAAAUAUGAAAAAUACUAAUAUUUCAUAAAAAUAUUCAUUUUACAAAAAUACAUUCUUCUAGUAUUUUUAUUAAAAAUAAUUUUAGAAAUACUCUUACCAAAUGGUGGAAAAUUCUUAACAUGAGUGCAAAUUAAUUUUUAUUUUGAAAAAGUUUUACUAAAUGGAAAAAAAUUCUUCCUCGAAUUUUAUGUGGAUAUGAAUUACUUGGAUAAAAUUGGAGCUUUGUCCAUAUCAUGUUAGUGACUUAUUUUGUUGAGAUAUAUAGUUAUAAGACAAAUCUCACCCAAAUAUCUUUUUUUCGUAGAAGACAAAGCUCAUUGCCUUGAAUGAUAGGAUCUAGAGAUGCACAAAAGUGUGCUUUUUUAUUUAAAAAAAUGUGUUCUAUGACUAGCAUGUAUUUCAAAUUUAAGUUCAACCAAAAAGACCGCUCAAUCUCCUAAGAGCUCUUUAGAGAUGAAAACCAAUUUUAAUUAUAUCAAAUAAAAAUAUAUAAUUAUUAUUUCUUAAGAUGGUAUUGUUAAAUUGCCAAUUUUUAAAAAUUUUAUUAUGGUAAAAAAUGUUAACAUUUUGGGAAAAAAAUUAUUACUAUUUUUUUUUCAAACUAGCAGUCUUGAAAUAUUUUGUCUUAAUUAUAUAAAAAAUGAUAAUUAUUUUUGUAUAGACAAUGAUAUUUAAUUAGUAAUUUUUAGAUAUUCUUAGCAUGUAAAAAGAAGUAGACUUGACAUUUAAUAAUAUUUUGAUACCACUUUAAUCAAAUAUAUUAUUCAAAGUUAUACAUCUAGCUCUAUUAAAUUUAAGUUAAAUGAAGGUAUAGUCGAAAUUCAUAUUGACAAACAAAUGUUACCUAAGUGUAAUUCCUAUGACAUUGUAGUGAAGCAUAAUUUUUUUUUUCUUUUUAAGUAGAAUUAUAUGAAAACUUAAUUUAUUUUAAGCAUGCAUUAAAAUAAUGAUUUGUCUUUUAUUAAUUAAAAAACUAAAAAAAAAAUUGUACUAUUUAUUAUUAUUAAAAAAGAUUUCUUACUUUCAAUUAAAAUUACAUAUUUACAUAAGAAUAUAAAGUUCCCUUUCCAAUUGCAUGUUUUUAGUCUAGACAUUUAUUGUCUUUGAUAGGGUGGAAAAGUCAUUGCAUUCUUGAUUUUUAUUAACAAUUGUGUGGAAAAGUUGUUGUUUUCCUAAUUCUUGUCAAUAAUUGUGUUCAAAAGUCAUUGCAUUCCUAAUUCUUAUCAACAAUAGUUUUUAAGGAAUCUAUACCUAAUAUUCACAUUAUCAAUAGUAUAUGAAAAUGAUCCUAAUUGAUGUGAGUGGUCUAAUUAGAGUGAAGUAUAUAAGAAUAUCAUUUAUUAAAUCUUAGUAUUAAAAUAAAAAGUAGCAAUUGAAUCCAUUAUAUCAAGACUUGAGGAAUGUGAGGAAUCUAAAUUAAUUUUCUUUCCCUAUAAGGUAGAAUUUGCAUUGAAACUCCAUCUACUUUAAUUUAAGGGAUAGCACAAACAAAGUCGUAGGUGUGACAUGCUUUUAUGUAAAAACAAUUUAAGAGUGGUUUGUGCUUUUUAUAAUAGGUAUCAUGAAAAAGAACAUGCUCAAAAUGUAAAUUUUUUAUUUUUUUAAAUAAUAUUACAUUAUUUUAAUUCAAUUUUCAAGUUAAUUAAAAGCAAAACUUAGAUCAUGGAUUGGACAUAAUGACAAUAAAUUUCUCCUAUUAAUAGAUUUAACAAUAAAAAAGAUGAGUCUUUUUUUUUUCAAGUUAAUUACUAAUUUCUAAAAUUUUUAUUAUGGUAACAAAUGUUAAUAUUUUGAAAUAUUUGAAAAUAUGUUAAUUAUCAUUUUUUGCCAAAUUAUUAAUCUUCAAAUAUUUUUAUUUUAAUUAUAUAAAAUAAAAACAAAUAUAAUAAUUAUUUUAUUACAAACAAAGAAAUUUAAUUAUUAAUUUUUAGUCUUAGCUUAUAAAAGGAAGUAGAUUUAACACUUACAAGAACACCACUUUUAAACAAAUAUGUUAUUCCAAGUUAUACAUAUAGUUCUAUUACAUUUAAGUUGAUGCCAGUGGUAUGAUCAUAGUGAUGUAUAUAUUAGUAUUAAAACAAAAAGUCACAAUUGAGUCUUUUGUAUUUAGACUAAGGAAUAAUUAUAACAAUGGUGAAACCUAGAUUAAUUUUUUCCAUCUUUAUAAGGUAAAAUUUGUAUUGAAACUUCAUCUAUUUCAAGGCAUAGCACAAAUGAAGUUGCAAGGAUGACAUGCCUUCAUGUAGAAAUAAAAUAGAAUUUCAUUGUCUAAAUAGGAUAUUUUAUUAUUAUUGUAAACAAAUUUUUUUACUUCUUCCUUUGUUAGCAUCAAGAACUCAGAAAAUAUUUGCUUCACAAUGUUGAGCAUUGAUGCAUCUAUUUAAUAGUGAUUUGUGCCUUUUAGAUUACAUAUUUUGAAAAAAGAUAUGUUCGAAAUGUAAAUUUUACUAUUAUUUUUUUUUUCAAAUGAUACUCUAUUAUUUCAAUUUAAUUAAAAGGGAGACUUAGGCCAUGGGUCAAACACAAUGACAAUAAAUUUGUCCAGAUGGAUUUAACAAUCGCAAAUAUGGUUUUCUUUUUUUUGAAUACAUAUAAAAGAGAAUUUAUGAUCUAGUUUUUUUAUAGACUUAAAAGAACAAAAAAAAUCAAUUAUUGAAUAUACCUACCAAUUCAAUUACCUUAGAAAAAUUAAAACUUGUGCAUAUUUGUUGCUCAGUUUACAAUUCUUAACAAAUUAAUAGAAAAGAAUUAAACAUUCAAGGCAAAAAAAAAUAGGUCCAUUCAAUUUUCCUUUGAAAUGAUAGUGGGUUGUUUUAAUGGGAUUUGAAGUUUGGGUCAAACUUGAUAUAAUAUUGUUUUACCCUUGAAAUUGAUAACGAUAAUGGGUCAUGUAUAAUGGGAUUUGAAAUCCAAAUCUUAGUGGGAUAUGAACUCUAAGUCAAAUAAUGAUAAUUGGUUUGUUUAGUGGGAUUUAAAAUUUGAGUCUUAAUGGUCUUCGAAGUCAUCAAAUAAUGAUAAUUGGCAUGUUUAGUGGAACUUGAACUUUGAGUUUGAAUGGGGUUUGAAGUUUGAGUCAAACUUGAUAUAAUAUUUUACCCAUAAUUGGCCAUCUUUAAUAGCAUUAGAAGUCAUAGUCAAACUUGAUGUAAUGUUUUACCCUUGGAAAUAAUAAUGAUGAUUGGUGGGAUAUGAAGUCCAAAUCUUAGUGGGAUAUGAACUCUAAGUCAAAUAAUGAUAAUUGGUUUGUUUAGUAGGAUUUGAAAUUUAAAUCUUAAUAGGAUUCAAAGUCGUCAAAUAAUGAUAAUUGGCCUGUUUAGUGGGACUUGAACUUUGAGUCUGAAUGGGGUUUGAAUUUUGAGUCAAACUUGAUAUGAUAUUUUACCCACAAUUGGCCAUCUUUAAUAGGAUUGGAAGUUAUAGUCAAACUUGAUAUAAUAUUUUAUCCUUUGAAAUAAUAAUGAUAAUUGGUGGGAUAUGAAGUCCAUCUCUUAGUGAGAUAUGAACUCUAAGUCAAAUAAUGAUAAUUGGUUUGUUUAGUGGGAUUAGAAAUUUAAGUCUUAGUAAGAUUCAAAGUCGUCAAAUAAUGAUAAUUGGCAUGUUUAGUGGGACUUGAACUUUGAGCUUGAAUGGGAUUUGAAGUUUCAGUCAAACUUGAUAUAAUAUUUUACCCACAAUUGGCCAUCUUUAAUAGGAUUGGAAGUCAUAGUCAAACUUGAUAUAAUAUUUUACCCUUUGAAAUAAUAAUGAUAAUUGGUGGAAUAUAAAGUCCAAAUCUUAGUGGGAUAUGAAAUCUAAGUCAAAUAAUGAUAAUUGGUUUGUUUAGUGGAAUUUGAAAUUUAAGUCUUAAUAGGAUUCAAAGUCGUCAAAUAAUGAUAAUUGACAUGUUUAGUGGGACUUGAACUUUGAGUCUGAAUGGGAUUUGACAUUUGAGUCAAACUUGAUAAUUUUACCCUUAAAAAUAAUAACAAUAAUUGAUCAUAUUUUAUGGGAUUUGAGAUCUUAGUCAAACUUAAUAUAAUAUUUUAACCAACAAUGAAAAAUAAAUAAGCAUAUGAUACGAGCUAAGAACUCAUUUCAAAAGUAGGGUCAAAAAUGGUUUUAAAUGCUUAAAAAGUGUGUUUUGCUAUAUAAAAAAAAAUCGUUUUAACGUUAGAAAAUAUAGAUACUUCUUCUAAAAGCCAUUACAAGAAAGACAUGAAAAAUAUUAAAAUUUCAAAUAAAUUUUCAUGUUUGAAAAACAUAUUUUUCUUGCAUUUUUAUUAAAAAUAUGUUCAAACAUACUCUUACAUGAUCUACUUGAGUUCCUAAAAUAAUUACAAACUCUAUUUAAUUUUUAUUUUAAAAUUUUUUUACCUAAGGGUGGAAAAUUCCUCCUCAAAUUAUACAUGGAUAUGAAUUAUUUGGAUGAAAAUUGGAGCUAAUAUCAUAAGAAUGACCUAUUUUAGUGGAAUAUAUAGUUAUUAUAAGAUAAAUCUCACUCAACUAUCUGUUUACUUAUAAGACAAAGUUCACUGCCUUGUAUAAUGGGGUGCAAAAAUACAUAUGAGUGGACACUUUUGACUUAAAGUAUAAUGAGAUGUAAAAAUACAUAUGAGUGAACACUUUUUACUUAAGAUCGUGUUUCACAAUAACAUGUCUUAAAUUUAAGUUCAAAGAAAAGUACCACUUAAACCUCCAAAGAACCCUUGAACAUAACAAUUGAAAAUAAAGAUAAACUCCCUCAUAUGAUAAUAAAAAAUAUUUUUCAAUUGUUAUAAAUUGUGAUCAUGUUACUUAUUAAGUUAAAUAAGAAGUAAAAAGGAUUUUAUAAAAAUGGUAUUUUAAAUGUGAAGUAAAUUUUAAAUGUGCUAAAAAUUUUAGGUCCUCUUUGGACGUGUUUUCUAAUGCUGGUUGAAAAGUUGUUUUUAUGUUAAAGAACAAAAGAUAGUUAUUUAGUAUUUUAUAAAAAUAAGGAUGUUUGAUAAGUUGUUUUUUCAAAAAAUAAAAAUAAGAACUUUUUUGGAUAAGUUGUUUAUAAAAAUAAUUUUCCUAUUUUGAUUUUGUAAAAACAUUAUAAAUUUAAUUUAUGUAAUAUUAAUUAAAUUUAAUUAAAGUCUUAUUGAAAAUAAAAAAAUAGUUUUUAAUUACAAAUAAAUUAAAAAAAUAAAUAGUUUUUAGUAAAAUAUGAACAAUAAUAUUAUAAUAAAAUCAUAAAUAAAAAAAAUUAUAAAAAAAUAUUAUUUUAGUAUAUUUUUUAUGCUAAAGCUCCUAAUGGGCUUCGAAGUCAUCAAAUAAUGAUAAUUGACAUGUUUAGUGGGACUUGAACUUUGAGUUUGAAUAGGGUUUAAAGUUUGAGUCAAACUUGAUGUAAUAUUUUAUCCACAAUUGGCCAUCUUUAAUAGGAUUGGAAGUUAUAGUCAAACUUGAUAUAAUAUUUUACCCUUGGAAAUAAUAAUGAUAAUUGGUGGGAUAUGAAGUCCAAAUCUUAGUGAGAUGUGAACUCUAACUCAAAUAAUGAUAAUUGGUUUGUUUAGUGGGAUUAGAAAUUUAAGUCUUAAUAGGAUUCAAAGUCGUCAAAUAAUGAUAAUUGACAUGUUUAGUGGGACUUGAACUUUGAGUCUGAAUGGGAUUUGAAGUUUGCGUCAAACUUGAUAUCAUAUUUUACCCACAAUUGACCAUCUUUAAUAGGAUUGGAAGUCAUAGUCAAACUUGAUAUAAUAUUUUACCCUUUGAAAUAAUAAUGAUAAUUGGUGGAAUAUGAAGUCCAAAUCUCAGUGGGAUAUGAAAUGUAAGUCAAAUAAUGAUAAUUGGUUUGUUUAGUGGGAUUUGAAAUUUAAGUCUUAACAGGAUUCAAAGUCGUCAACUAAUGAUAAUUGGCAUGUUUAGUGGGACUUGAACUUUGAGUCUGAAUGGGAUUUAACGUUUGAGUCAAACUUGAUAAUUUUACCCUUGAAAAUAAUAACGAUAAUUGGUCAUAUUUAAUGGGAUUUGAGAUCUUAGUCAAACUUAAUAUAAUAUUUUAACCAAUAAUGAAAAAUAAAUAAAUAUAUGAUAUCAACUAAGAACUCAUUUCGAAAGUAGGGUCAAAAAUUGUUUAAAAUGCUUAAAAAGUGUGUUUUGCUAUAAAAAAUAAAUCAUUUGAAAAAAAAAAUCGUUUUAAAGUUAGAAAACAUGAAUAAACACUUAGAUAUUUCUUCUAAAAGCCAUUACAAGAAAGACAUGAAAAAUAUUAAAAUUUCAAAUAAAUUUUCAUGUUUGAAAAACAUAUUUUUCUUGCAUUUUUAUUAAAAACAUGUUCAAACAUAUUCUUAUAUGAUCUACUUGAGUUCCUAAAAUAAUUACAAACUCUAUUUAAUUUUUAUUUUAAAAUUUUUUUACCUAAGGGUGGAAAAUUCCUCCUCAAAUUAUACAUUGAUAUGAAUUAUUUGGAUGAAAAUUGGAGCUAACAUCCAUAUCAUAAGAAUAACCUAUUUUAGUGGAAUAUAUAGUUAUUAUAAGAUAAAUCUCACCCAACUAUCUCUUUACUUAUAAGACAAAGUUCAUUGCCUUGUAUAAUGGGAUGCAAAAAUACAUGAGUGGACACUUUUGACUUAAAGUAUAAUGGGAUGUAAAAAUACAUAUGAGUGGACACUUUUUACUUAAGAACGUGUUUCACAAUGACAUGUGUCUUAAAUUUAAGUUCAAAGAAAAGUACCACUUAAACCUCCAAAGAACCCUUGAACAUAAUAAUUGAAAAUAAAGAUGAACUCCCUCAUAUGAUAAUAAAAAAUAUUUUUCAAUUGUUAUAAAUUGUGAUCAUGUUACUUAUUAAGUUAAAUAAGAAGUAAAAAGGAUUUUAUAAAAAUGGUAUUUUAAAUGUGAAGUAAAUUUUAAAUGUGCUAAAAGUUUUAGGUCCUCUUUGGAUGUGUUUUCUAAUGCUGGUUGAAAAGUUGUUUUUAUGUUAAAGAAUAAAAGAUAGUUAUUUAGUAUUUUAUAAAAAUAAGGAUGUUUGACAAGUUUUUUUUAAAAAAAGUAAAAAAUAAAAAACUUUUUUGGAUAGGUUGUUUAUAAAAAUAAUUUUUCUAUUUUGAUUUUGUAAAAACAUUAUAAAAUUAAUUUAUGUAAUAUUAAUUAAAUUUAAUUAAAGUUUUAUUGAAAAUAAAAAUAGUUUUUAAUUACAAAUAAAUUAAAAAAUAAAUAGUUUUUAGUAAAAUAUGAACAAUAAUAUUAUAAUAAAAUCAUUAAAAAAUAUUAUUUUAGUAUAUUUUUCAUGCUAAAGCUCCUAUGAAAUUUUAGGUAGAUACAUGUCUUCUAGUGGAUAAUUAUAGUCUUUUUCAACUCGGAGAUCCUUCACGACAUGAGCCACCAACCAUUCCUCAUACAAAAUCUUGCCAAAUUAACCUUGAGAAUAUUCCUCAACAUCCUAUUCCUCUUCAUCUCAACCAUCCUCUCCCUUUGUCUCCUCCACCUCUCUUGAACACCACUCCCCUCCGCCCCAAUCUCCCACCCUCUCAUCUCAUGGUCCAGGUGCUAAAGUCAUUGAAUACAUCUUGUAUUGUAUUCAAUCCCAUGUUUUUCUGGCCUCAUAAAUUCUAAACCCUAUCUAGGUUUUCCAAUUUUGUGAAAAAUUAUAUGGAUUAAAUUCAAUGUUAGAGACAAAAUUUUGAACAAAUCUGCAAAAACGCUCAACAGUUGUGGUCAUAGCUCAUGACCAAGAUGGGAGUCUACAAUGUAAUAAUGCUGAUGAAUGAUUCAAAGACUGCUCCAACUAGAUUUUGAAAAUUGUCUAUUUUCCAACAUUUUUGUAUUGAGCUAUUCUCGUAUAAACGGAUUGAAAACAGUUUUUUGAAAAUUUGUUUAAAAAUAAGAGGACUUUUCAUAAAAAAAUUCAGGGUGUUUUAUUAGAGCAAUAGGAGACAUGGAGAAUAUGCCGAUAACUUUUGCAGUGUACAUCAAUGCAUAAUACUUUCAUAGAGAAGAGACUUUUAUUUAAAAAAAAAAAAAAAAAAUUGACUCCUAAUAGAAUUUUAUUACUCCAAACAUUCAGGAGCUAUUCUUAAAAAUCGAUUUGUAAAAAUUAUCGAGCAGACCCACAAUCUGUUCGAGUAACAAAUGGAAAACUUACCAUUUGAUCUUAUUCCAACUACAAUUUAAAAAAAGAAAACAAACAAACAUAUAAAUCCUUAGACAGGACCGAGCAACAAGCAUUGUGGUUUUGUUGUCUGUGGGUGGUCAAAUUUAUCAGUAACCCAAGACUUCCAUGCUCACAAAAGCUCCAUUUUAAUCAAAGGUUGGUGAGAAAAUUACUAACAGGCUCAAGUCUCAUCUUAAAUAGAAGGAAAACAAAAACAUUAUUUACAUGCUUCACCAAUGAAACAUUCAAGUUAUGCAUUGAUAACCAUAAUUUCUGGGGAUAUAACGCUGUUCAACAAGAUUAAUGCAUUUGUGAAGCUCAGACGAAUCGCAAAGAUCAUAGAUGAAAAUCUCUCUAGCAUUACCAAAUAAAAGGUACAACGAAGAAAAAGUUGAUGUAUGUGAUCUUGCUUGGGACUGAGGUGGAUCAAUGUUCAAUAUUUUCCUAAAAUAAGCAGACUAAUUAGUGUAAGAAAUAUUGAUUCAUAUAGAACUUUAACCACAAAAUUCAGAAUUAACUAGGAAGAAGAUGAAAAUACAGAGAAAACUUGAGGGAAGGAGCUAAGACACAGAUGGAGGGAUUGGCUUCACAGCAUUUUGGAUCCGCUGGAAUGCCACUCUCACUCUUUCCUUGAGGCCUUCAUUUUCGCUCUCAACAUUCCCACUCUGUUUAUCAAGAUGCACCACAUUUCCAUCAACGCUUAUCACCAGGUUCCCAUUCCCUUCCAACUUCACAUCUCCAAACAGAGAAACAAGGAGUGCGUGGAUAACCUUUUCUGCUUUCUUCCCAUUUUCUUCUUCAGUUUUCAUGGCCUCUGAUUCAACUACUACCUUGGGGAUCUCAAGACUGAUAUUUAAAACUAGAGCCACAAUGGAGUCAGAGACCAUGUCACUAAUUGGAUCUGAUGUCCAACGCAAUGAAAUAUGCUUCUCCGACUCAUGCUUCACUGUCACCCGUUCAUGGACUUGAAAAGCUGGAACCUCAGAUUCUUCAUCUGGCAAUGACUCAACACUCUCAUAUAUCUGCUUCAGCCUGUGCUUUAUUACACCAAAGGCACCAGUGUAAGGAAUAGUAAUCCUCUGGGUGACAUUUGCCGUGGAUAGCUGUGAGAAGACAUGGAGAUCAUCAGGUGCCAUUAUCUGAUAAGUGAACCCUUUCUUUACCAGUAAACCACUGACAAUUUCACCAACUUCUGGGGUCUUUUCAGCCAGCCUCUCAAUGGUUUUUGCCAUUUUUUCAGAGUUGAAAUACAUUUCAACUGACUGACAGUUCUUUGGGGAAAUAAUUUUGGUGUUGCAGUCAGCAAACUGGGUGAUAAGCUUCUGUUUGAGCCUCCCCAUCUCAUUAGCUUCUCCAUGAACAAGAAUGAUGUUAGGUGGCAUGAGCUCCUUCAAGAAUGUACUUGUCUGUGCAAAAUCUGCAUGGGCAGAGAAAGAAAUGUAAUGGACCUGCAUGUUGAGGGGAGCAGUAAGACCAUUCAUUAAAGUAACUUCCUUGGGUUCAUUAAUGAUGGUUUUUGCCAAUGUCCCUCCCACGACAUACCCAGGUAUAACACAUGCAUUUUUCUUAUCAGAGCACCACAUAUCAAACAGUUGUCUUGACAACCCACUCUGAAGCCCACCCGGGCUCGCCAUCACCACUGAUGGACCUACAUCAUUAAAAUUCUCAAUGCUCUUUAAGGGUGAUAUGUGCUUGAAGUCAAAGGGAUUCGAAUUUGCAAAUUGGUUGCGGAUCCUCUCAUUCAUGGAAUUGAUAUAUGUCUGGUAAACAGCCAUGCACCUUUUUGCAAGGGGGGAAGCAUAAAAUAUGGGAUGUUAUGGAGCUCAGGAUGGUUAGACCAAUACUCAUCAAGGAUAAGAAGGAGUUCUUGGGCACGACCUAGAGCAUAUGCAGGGAUUAGAACACGGCCCCCUUGAGAAAUGGUUGAGUGGAUGACAUCUGUGAAGCGUUUUUCUCGCACAUGCCGAGGCUGAUGGAGUUGGACACCAUAAGUGGAUUCAAUUAUGCAAAUAUCAGGGCAGAACUGUGGAAUCUCAGCAGCACGGAGAUGACGAUCUUCUUCGCUAGAAUAGUCUCCAGUGUAAAGUACUCGGACACCAGCAAUAUCAACCAUAAACAUGGCAGCACCAAGGACGUGGCCAGCUGUGUAACACCAAAAUCGUAUACCAUUUACUUCUAAAGUCUGAUGGAAAUCAAUAACCUGCAGAAGGGAGAUUUAAUUACAGUUACAGGAAGAUUAAAUGAGAUAAGAAAAUUAAGCUACAUAUCUAAAGUCAAUUGUUGUAAAUGGCCCAACAUUCUGCAAUAGAUCAGGAUUAUAUGCAACCAAUAUUUUGGCAUAUGAGAUACACACACACACACACACACCAUAUUGCUUUUUUUAGUGAACAAGUUUUAUAUUUUAUUAGAUUAGUUAUGUAACAAUUUUGAAACUAAAUUCAGAAACAAUAGAAAAAAUGUUGUUGUGGAACACAAAACAUGAAUUAAUAUUAGAAGUAUAGCCAUUUAAAUCUUAAUAGACUAAUUCCUACUAUGUUAGUUUUAUUUGUCCAGAACUGAAGACAAAACUCAUCUGCUCUCAUGGAAGGUGAAGUACAGAAAGCCCACAGAUGUUAUAGAGAUCUAAAACAGUAGUACUUACACUCAGGUAGAAUCUAUGAUUCAGGUAUGAAUGUCUAUGGUAGAAAGAUUAAGGCUUUAGGACAAGGUAGUAGACAUUUGUGGCACUAUUAAUUUCAAAUAAGAGUCCCAAGAUAGAACAUUAGAGCUAUUCGCAAAUUUAAAUAACCAGAUUUAAGCUAAUCUGUGAUACAUGGACCAUUGUGACCAUAACUUUUGUGUUUUUUUUUUUUUUUUUGAUAGUUAUUGUAACCAUAACCUUUUUUUUUUCCUGAUAGACAUUGUGACCAUAACUUUUCAGGCCUUUAAAAAAGGAAGUGCAAGAGAAGGAUUUCUCAUCCUUCCCUACUUUACAAAACCUGAUUUAAAAAUGGAAGUGCAACUGUGCAAGAGAAGGAUGAGAAAUCCUUCCUUACUUUACAAAACCUGAUCAAAACAGAGGAAAAGAAAUACUCUCCAAUAAACAUCAAAACAACUCGACAUUGCAAUUUUAACACUUCGGAUCUACAAGUCGACAUCCAAUCAAGUUGAGUUAUGUUGAGAAAUUCAUGCCUUAAAACAGAUAGUUACAUUAAAGGCACAACCAUAAUCAUAAAUCCAUUUACUGAGAAGAAAACAAUGCUGAGAAAAGCAAUGGGAACUUCAACAUAAUCAAAGAAAGUGAAUGAUUGGGGUUUUUCUGAAGGAAUUUUAGCUGAUAGAUUCAAUUAUUUGUAACCUCUCGCACUCUUACAUAUGAAAGUACAUGUUCAAGUUUGUGUAUGGACACUUUAUGCAGAGAAUGGGUAGGUCCAUUAACCCUUUCAUCCCUCCAGAACCCCAGAAAAGGAACCUGUAAUGGCCAACGGCCUUUGUAUAGAGUGAUCCCUCUAAUACAGCUACAGAGAAUACUCUCAAAACCAUGCUUAUAGUAGUAGAUCACUAACUAUUGAUGUGCUUUCAACCAUUUCAAGAGCACUCAUCAGCCAUGCAGUCAGAAUUUCAACUGGAGUAAAGUUGGGCUCAAGAAAGUCUACUCAAAGCCGAAAAAAUCUCAAGGCCAGACAAGAGCCCAGGGACAGAUUUCAAUUUUAGGAAGCUAUUUCAUACGAGGAAAGGAAUCUCCAAGAGUUUAUUCCUUGAGAAAAAAGAAAUAUUAGCAAACGGAAUGAAGAAGCCAUUGAGAAGCAGGAGAUAUUCAGAUAAUGACUUAAAAUUUGGGUGGUAGAUGUAGUCUCAUUACUUUAAAAAUAUAUCUGCAGUGCUCCUAAUAGCACCAGAUAUUGAUAAGAGAAGGUGCGGAUGGAGUACUUGCAGCUGGUCCCAGUCAAAUCUUUAUAUGCUUUAACAAUAGUUGUUUGGUCACUUUUUCUAAGUAAGGCCAUUCAGGACAGAAUUCAUUCAAUGAUUUUUUUUUUUUUUUUUUUGGAAGAAAUAUGUCCAUACCCAGGUAUAUAGUACAAUAUAAAAGAACAAUCAUGAUAUUCUCUAAAUUUCAUUUCUCAAUUCAGCAGAUCAUUAAGUUAUAAAAACAAAUAACAUUACAAUAUUCAACAAGGAAAAAGAAUAUACUGUGUCACCAAAAGGACAUCAAUGGUUGAAGGAUCAAUCUCAUCAAAGUAUGGCAAAGCAGCCAUGACUGAGUAUGCGGGAUGAAUUCCACAGUCAAACUAUCAUCACAGAACAGGAACAUAAUAGAAACAAACAAAUUAAAAAAAAUAUCGAAAACAAAGUAUAAAAACUAGCAACCAAAAUAAACGAAUAAUGCAUUAUGGUAUACCAAUAUGGUUUUCCCUUUAUAGGACAUGUAGACACAGGAACGGCCCACUUCAUUUCCAGCACCUAGAGGGGUAAUAAUCAGCUGGUCUCCUCUUGUUAAUGAGGAAUCUGGUCUCUUCAAAGACUGCGAUGGCCCUGUAGAUGCCAUUCUUCAACUGAACAAUUCUCAGACCCCUUCAAUUAACACCACUCUAUUUUCAUGCAAAAUGCUCUGCAACCGAUUAAAAAAUACAAAAAAAAGAUUCAAAAAAAAAUAAAAAAACGCUUCAUCAUAAAUAAAAUGAUACCCAAAAAUAAAUACAAUUCCAACAAAAGACAUUUUUUCUCUGGGAACUCCAGUUAUUUUGGUGAAUAUAUUUCUGUUAAGCUUGGGAAAAAUAAAUUUUGACUUUCAGUAAAAUAACUCUGUACAGUUGAAAUUUAUAUUUCCCUGAGAACAUCUUCAAUAGAAAUAACCUAUCUCCCCAAUUGAAGCUCAAAAUUCAAAAUCCAGUACGAGAAAGCACUGUUUGUUUGCUGAGAAAUUGCAGAACCAAAAAUUUAAAUCUUACAGCUCUCAGCACUCAUCCCCCUAGAAAGCAACAUAAAAGCGCAAGAUUCAAUUGCUUCAUUUCCCUCUCUUCUCCUCACUUUUCUCAGCAACCAAACACAACAACCUUAUAUAAAUAAGGAGAGAGAGUGAAGUAGAAGAAAGAAGAAACUCGAAACUUAUAAAAAAAAAGCAUAGUAUGAAGGCAAUUAUAAGAGAUUCAAAAUUUUCAACUCACUUGGUUGCAUUCCCCAGGACUUUCUCGGGAACCAAACAGACGGGAGGAAGAAAAAACAUAAACUUCAGAACAAAGAAAGAAGAAAUGCAUAGAAAAUAGCAGAGGGAGAAAGUUUCGAGAGAGCUAGAGAGGUUACAGUUAUGAAAUGAUUUCAGACCAUGCAGAGGAAGAGAUUGAACUAAAACCCCAAUUUUGAGAAGAUGCUUCCCUCUUUGCCUCACCCUCUGAAAGAUUGAUAAAUACCGGGCUGGAAUGGUCGGUCCGGACAGUCUUCAAGGAGUUCUUGAAAAAGAAUCUGAAGUACAUCUAUGAACAAUCACAUAUGCAUUUGGGCAAUCUAUAGGUUCUCCAUCUGCUCUCAUCGCUGAACUACCACAUUCCUUCAGAUAAAUGGACCUGCCACCUCUGGUUUAUUAAAGACUAAAACAAUUUCCGUUGAACAGGUCUUUGCAUAAACCUUCUUUGGGGCAGGAGACUGAUGUGGAGUAUACUUAAGUCGUUUUCAGAUUAGUAUUUGAAUUGACCUUCUGAGGGGUGCCAAGUGCAAUUCACCAAAAUCCCAAACUGGAAUUAGUCCAUCUCCCAUUUCCUUUGAAAUACUCAACAAUUUAGUUUCUUUUUCUAUCAAGUUUGCCUUCAACUUUUCAAUAUCAGCCUACAUUUUCUCUAGUUUCGUCUGUGGUUCAGCUUGUAUUGGACUGGGUCUAGAUUUUGCGUGUUCUACAUGCUCAUAAGUGCUUCCAAACUACACCAUGUCCUGAACAUAUUCUUUCUGAUACCUGACCUUGGCAUCAAGAGCAGAUUUUAAAUGUCCCAUCUUUAAGACCAGAUUACUACUUAUGAAGUAGUCUAGGCUCUCCUUCAAACGGCUGAGACAGUGAGCAUUGUAACCACUGCCAAAUACUUUGUUAGUUGCUGAAAGAAAGCUUGGGUUCCUAUCUGAAAUUAGAACCACAUGACAAUUCAUCAGUAAAUACUUCAGAUGCUCUAGGAACCACAACCAGUUUUCUUCAUUAUCAGUAUUAACCACCCCAUAAACUAGAGGAUAUUAGUCAUCAUCUACAUCUAAGGCAGAUGCAGACAACAAAGUGUCUUUAUGUGGCCCACUCAAGUGAUAGGCGUCAACAAACAGCAACUCCCUGGAAUUGACUUCAUAAGUCGCUUGCACAUCCAUGGAAUUAGCUUGUAAGAGUCCUCUGGCUUUCCAAAAUUCGCUGUGCUGGAGAAAGUCCAAUAGUGAGGGCUGCUGCUGAGCGAAUGCAAUAGUUCCUUUACAUGCAGUUGAGCCACCAGCCUGUUAAUUUCUCAGCUCAUGGCGUAGGUGAACAUUAAGCUGCUGAAGAUAGACUGGCUCUCUACAUCAGAUCACAUUGAUUUGUUUGGAGUUGCCCAAUUUCUUUGGCAAAUCUUCAUUUUCGUGUCUCGAAUUGUGGUUCAGUUUCCUUACUUCUUCUACCUCUGGACAUUCCAAAACAAAACUUGCAAAGGCUUGAAUGGCUUCUAAACUUUCUGCCAAUUCAGAAUUUUCCAACUGCAGGUUCACAUUAGAGUUCUUCUAACUCCUCUGCUUCAGCAGCCUCAAAGCAUUCCUUUUUAGCAGCUUCACGCUCUUCUGUUGCAAAUCCUCUUUGAUCACUCUCAAUAAUUACCAAUAAUUUUUGCUUGGGUUGAAGAACAAACCUUCUUGGUGUAUACCUUAAAGGAAUCGCAGAUUCAUUAAAUGUUUCACCCAGUCAUUCAAUAGUGAAGACUAUGCAACCAUGAAGGAAAGUGAGUCAAUGCAUGAACUAAUGGGUCGGGCCUUGUGGUGCCUAAAGUGGGCCUAGGUGGGCCAAAGUAAACCUAAGUGAGCUUAGAAAAGUGCUCUAGUGACCUAGAGUGAACUAAGUGGAAUUUAACUUAAAGUGCACCCAAAGUAAAGCCUAACCUAAACUCAAAGGAUGACUAAUGUCACAAUGAGAAGCCAGAUAAACCCUCAACCAAAGUCUCUAAGGUGGCUCAGAGAAGGCAAAUUGCAUAGUAGUAAUUAGCUACAAAUGAACCAUUGUAAAAUACUAAACGAGCCCUCAAUAGAACAUGUGUUAAGGGGACAAAAUGGAGGGUCUACAGUAAUAGAACAAAAAUUCUAAAAUCUUCAAAUCUCAACUUUUAAACCAACAUAUCAACCAUAAUAUUUUUGUCUGAGCAAUUUCAAACUAAAACAAUAGCUAACAAUAAUUAAAUUCUAAUAUUUAACAAAAUCCCAAAAAGAGAGUUUAAACAAAUAUCCUAAUAAAGCCAAAAUUUUCAUUUCUCACCCGAACUUAGGGUACUUGAAAAAUUAACAACAAAGGGGGAUGAACUCAAAACUCAAUAAAAAACAUUAAUAUAGUUUCAUAGAUCAAAUAUUUUCAUUCAUGCUUCCAAAUAGGAGAUAUAGGGUAUAAUCAUUUUCAUAAAACGUUUGAGUUCAAACAUGCUAAUACAUUUUAAACAGUUCAACCAAACAUUUUCAUAUAUAUCAAAACCAUUUCAUAUCAAAUCCAAAUCAAAUACAUUUCAAUUAUUUUUAUUCUAGUUACCAAACAAUAAAUGGCGCUUAGUUAAGUGAAACUUUACAAAUGGGUAGUUAGCCUCAAAUUUGUUCCUUUUAAGGUGGACAGAAUCAAAAGUAACCUCUAAUCAAAGCCCUCAAGGUUGGGGUCUAAAUCAAUUAUAUUUUUCACCACAAAAAUGAAAAGGUCAACUAUUAUAUUUCGUUGACAAGGGCCGAAAAGUCAAUUAUUAUACUCCAUUGAUAAGGACCAAAAAAAUUAAAAUCAAAUUCUUUGUUUUAUUUAUUCAAACUUACGGAAACAUAAGACCUCCAUAUAUUCUAUUAUAAACAAAAGAAAUGUUAUAAUAUAUUUUUCAUGCAAAAAUAUAUUUGAUCCAUACAUAAAAGCAAAAAUAACAUUUACAUAUAUAUAUAUAUAUAAUUAUCUUCUUUUGCAAAGUUUGUAUUAAUUUCUCUUAGCUCAAAAGAGUCCUAAAAAACCUUGGAGAGAAAUAAUUAUGGAAAAUCUAUUCUUCACUUAACAUAACAUAAUAGAAAUAAAUAUUACUAUUUAUCUACAAUUUAAUUAAUCUAUUCCGUAUUUAAAUAAAAUUAAUAAAUUUCUAAUUUGAUUCUAAUAACACAUUACUAAUUUAAUUAAAUUGCAAUUUUAUUUCAUUAUAUAUAUAUAUAUAUAUAUAUAUUUUACUAAAUCUCUCAUUCUAUUUAUUACAUUAAACCAUUAUUACUAUUAUCUUAUUUAUUAACCUAGACCUAAAUAUUAUUAUUUUAUUAAUUAUCAAAUUCAAUAGCCACCCAAACCAUUACCCACUUGUCUCCGGGACACACAAAACCAAUAAAACAAAGCAAGUUCUUUCAAUUGUCAUCAUCAUUAUUAUGAUGAUUCAUUAUUUAUUUAUUUAUUCUUGGUUUUCCAAGUUCUUCCUUCCAUCCAAUGCACAUGCCUCUUUUUUAUUCUUUAUUUCUUUCUUAACCCUAACACGUCUUUUUUUUUUUUUUUACUUCUAGGAAUGUGCACACAAAUACAAUGCCUCAAAACCAUAAAUACAAGUAUCUAUAUAUCACCCCUCCAAAAUCCAGAAAUCAUGUAAUUCUUCUUAUUAUUUAUUUAUUUAUUUUCUUUUCAAUCUAAAGUCUCCACUAACGACUUAUUUAUUUAUUAUCUAAAUCUAAAAUUUCUUUUCUUCCUCUGUUUUUUUUCAUUUUAAAUUUAUUUAUUUAUUUUUCUAUUCCAUUGAAAUUUUUGAAAUUUUCCUAUCUUCAUCAAUAAAUCAACCUAUACUUGCAAUUUUUCAAACAUUUUGAUCUAAAAGUUUAAUAAACAAACCCUAAUCUAGAUUUAGAUUUUCCAAAAAAAUAUCUAAUAUGUUUUAAAGUAACUAACGAAUCUAAAAUAUUAAUCUAGGGGUUAGAAUCUUAUCGGAAAAGUAUGGACUUCAAACCUUAAACCUUCAAACCUUCACCCCUAUGUUCACCAAUUCUCUAAUUUUGGUUAAUAAGGUUUUUGGAAUAGAGAAGACAAGAAAAAAAAAAUCUAAUUCAUACCUAGGACUAUUAAUGGAAAAAAUGACAUUUUUCCCCUAAUGAAUUUAAUUAAUUUUUAAUUUACUAUUUUACCCUUAAAAUUAAUUUGGGGUGUUAUAGUAUCAAUGGAUGAAAAAAAAAAAUCAAAAGGCUUAGGUCAUAAAUUUUAUUUCAAAAUCAUUUAAGAAUUAAUUAAUUAAAACUCAAUUUUUAAGUUUUUAAAUUUUAAAUUCCUCCCUUAUUCAUUAUUGGAUUGAAUUCUUUUAACUAUUUUUCCCUCUUUUAACUUUAUUAUUUCUUUCAUAAUUUUUAUCAUUAGAACAUAUAAGCUUUCUUGUUUCUCUUAAGAUUUUGUAAAUCAUUUAUGUGAAAUUUUAAAACCAAAUUAGCUAUCAAUAUUUCUUCUACUUUUUUCUCAAUCAAAUGCAUGGUUUGUUGUUGAUACUUAUCUUGGUUCAUCUAUAAGUGAGACCAUACUUUUUUUUCCAUUUGGAAGUCCUAAGGAAUCGACAUGUAGCCUAUAACAAGGACUACCAAAUUAAUCAUUUAUAGUUUACAAUAAAAUAGAAUGCAUAUUAAAGGGGCUCUAGACUCGCAACUGUGAAUAUAUUGUUUGUUCUAGGUCCAACAGGUUUUCAAAAUUUCAAAAUAUGUUUACAAGGCUAAGAGGAGUCCAUACAAAUAUAAUAUAUAUGUAAAAUUGCAAGGUUAAACGUUUUUAGAGAAACACUUCAAUUAAAAGCAUUUCCAAUAAAAACACUUUCAAUCGAUCAUUAAUUAUCUUUAGUUAAUUAUCAUCAAUUCCUAAAUAUAUAUUUAUUCUCCUUAUCGGGGAUUUUACUAAAAUGCUUUUUUUUUUUUUUUAUCAAACUAAACUAUGCAAGUGUAGGAAGUAGUUCUGUUUAAUAUGCUCAUAUGCUCUUUAGAUCAUGUUCUCCUUGAGUUGCUUGUUUCUUCUUAACAAAAAAAAUACAGUUUGUCACCCAUUUUGAAGGGAGAUAAUAACGAAAAACUCAUAGUUAAAAAAAAAAAAAAAAAAAAGUGAUUUCAACAGUUUUGGGAAUUAUCACUCUCAACAAUCUAUUAAAAAAUUGUAAAGAUUACAUGUUGGCUCUCCCCAGCCCCAAGGACGCUUACUGUCACAAGAAACCCAUAUCCUAUCUUCCACCCCAAGCCUGCUUCUGCCACUCAAAGUCCAAUCACAAUAUUCAGAGCUCCCAAGAUGAGAGCAAGUCUCCCUACCAAGUGAUGUUACUAGUUCCAGUACUUGCGCUGUUUGGAUGUCUUGUCCGGCCUUAGAAUCAAUGCCAUUACCCAAGAAGAAGAAAACUUAGUUUUCAGCAUGCUUGAAGAAAUAUAUUUAGUUAAUGUCGAGUGAACGCCCAGGGAGAGUGAAAACAAACCUGAAGAAUGCCAAGGAAAAACACCAAGGAUCCGAGGGGUCUGUGAAUCUUGAAUUUGGGAAUGCGAUAAGACUCCAGUCCAUUGUAGAGUGUCCUUCCUGCGACGACAGUAGCAAGACCCGGAAGAAAACCCACAAUCUGGAUCGAGAUAUGAAGAUAAAACCAUUGAGGAUCAUGAUGCUUGAAGUAUCUAGGGAUGAUUGCCCCAGAUGGAAGGAGCACGUCCCAUGCAAUUAGGCCCAUGUCUCCAUGACGCGUCUCCAAAUCUCCAGUGUUAUUGACACCAGAGUUAUAUCCUGUGAGACACACAACAGAAAUUUUCCAUAUCAGACUUCAAAGAGUUUUAUCUGAAGCUCCCACUUUAUUUCCUAGAUAUAAGCCCCUCACGUCUAGAAUGUAAAAUCCUCUGUUCUCUGUUCAAAUUUCAGCUUUGCAAUUGGAGUCAAUACAUCUCGUAUUCAAUUCAAUCCUCAUCUUUUUAUGGCCUCCUAAAUUCUAUGACCCAGUUUUGUGAAAAACUACAUCAUGGGGACCCAAGAGGAUGGGAUUUGAUUCAAUGUUAGGUACAAAAUUUUGGAAAAAUCUGCAAAACCCUCAACAGUUGUGACCACAGCUCAAGACCAAGGUGGGAAUUUACAAUCUAAUAAUGCUGAUGAAUGCUUCAUAGACUGCUCUACGAAACUAGAGUUUGUUAGAAUGCCUGUCCUUUGUUGAAAGACAUGAAGAUCCUCACAUUCUCGAGCAGGAAGAACCUUGGCCGAAAGUAGUCGGCAAAGGAUAAGAAGGCUGGGAUCAUUUCACACUGAACUUUACUCCAACUACUCUGGUUAAACGUAUUCAUCCUAGAGAAAACCUGUGAAGAUAUUAACCAUGACAUAGACUUAAAUGUGAUACAUCCAACAUUCCCAUUAGUUGGUGUUGACAUCCAACUACCUCUUUGUCUACAACGAAUGGAAUUGAAAAGGAUUAUAUAAAGAAUUUGAUAAAUGUGUGAACUUCAUAUUUUCAUUAAAAUCAAAUCGUAUAAAUAAUACAUUGAAGCAAAACAGAAAGCAAUAACUAUAUCCUAUAUUUCAGCAAUAUUCAAGCUGACCUAUUCUUAAAGAAUACUAACAGAAAAAUAUUUGGAGGACUACAUUCAUCCCAGAGAAACCCUGUGAAGAUGGCAGCCUUGUUUUAGCUCUUUGAAUAGAGUGAAAUAACAUAGCAGAAGCUGAUCAAACCUGGCAUGGAGGGCCCCCCAUUAAUAAAAUCAACUUGUCCAAGCAUCCGGUGAUGCAGAUUGUUUGGCAGCCUCAGAAGUAGAGACACGGUCAUCGGCAUUCCCGCACUCCUCCACGACAGCCCUGCAUCACAACCAAUUUACGGGUCUAUUACAAAUGAGAGAGAGAAAAAGAGAUUUUCAUGUUAAUGAAAUCAUUCACCUUAGGAUCGAACUGAAACGAUAAACAUCAAUGAUUCCGGAUGAUUGAAUUUGAGUGCAUCCCCAGCAGGCUCUUCAUAUUCAGUAGCCUACUUGGUUACUGAUACACCUGCAAAGUUGAAAGCAACAGGAGGUAAAAUCAUCACAUUCUUUAAUAAAAAUGUCAUCACAUACGACUCUUUAGCUGAUAUAGAUACAAAUGAAGUACCUGCUUGAGGGGCCCUUCAAAGGAAAAUAUAUUCCAAAGGUUGCAAGGACAUCACAUGGUGGCAGAUCAUGCUUCUGAAUAACCUGCACAUUCCACCCUUCAAAUAUAUUAGAAAAAUAAUAUAAUUGUAGUUUUAUAUUAUAAUAGAAGUUCAAAAAAACAAGAGAAAUUAUGCACGAUUGCUUGCGCCCACCUCAUGGAUGUCAUAACAGUAUGCCUUCUUGCUUUUACAUUUUUCAGUAAUAAUUGAUCGAUAACGAAUUUACAUGGAGAAGUGAGAACCCUCAGCUAGUUUCAUCCCCAUGACCAUGACCCAGCAGCUCACCCAACGUAAUCACAGAAAACGGUUUUGGCAAUGGUGGCCACUGUUUUGAGAGUGCUCGAGCAACUUGUUGCAUAGUUGGCC
RNAcentral lists this long non-coding RNA (26707 nucleotides) under Vitis vinifera (wine grape). Its description in RNAcentral is "long non-coding RNA (VVIN_LNC003929)". Lineage: Eukaryota; Viridiplantae; Streptophyta; Magnoliopsida; Vitales; Vitaceae. The record is from RNAcentral.